GACGUAGGGCGCGAGCGUUGUCCGGAUUUAUUGGGCGUAAAGAGCUCGUAGGCGGCUUGUCGCGUCGAAUGUGAAAUCUCAGGGCUCAACUCUGACAUUGCAUUCGAUACGGGCAGGCUCGAGUUCGGUAGGGGAGACUGGAAUUCCUGGUGUAGCGGUGAAAUGCGCAGAUAUCAGGAGGAACACCGGUGGCGAAGGCGGGUAUCUGGGCCGAUACUGACGCUGAGGAGCGAAAGCGUGGGGAGCGAACAGG
This 253-nucleotide ribosomal RNA is filed under the name uncultured bacterium. Its description in RNAcentral is "partial 16S ribosomal RNA". It matches the Rfam family "Bacterial small subunit ribosomal RNA", at positions 524 to 776 of the family's 1533-position model. The record is from RNAcentral.